GACGAACGCUGGCGGCGUGCUUAACACAUGCAAGUCGAACGGAAAGGCCCUGCUUUUGUGCGCUGCUGGAGUGGCGAACGGGUGAGUAACACGUGAGUAACCUGCCCUUGACUUCGGGAUAACUUCAGGAAACUAGGGCUAAUACAGGAUAGGAGCUCCUGCCGCAUGGUGGGGGUUGGAAAGUUUCGGCGGUUGGGGAUGGACUCGCGGCUUAUCAGCUUGGUGGUGGGGUAGUGGCAUACCAAGGCAUUGACGGGUAGCCGGCCUGAGAGGGUGACCGGCCACAUUAGUACUGAGAUACGGCCCAGACUCCAACGGGAGGCAACGGUGGGGAAUAUUACACAGUGGGCGGGAGCCUGAUGCGACAACGCCGCGUGCGGGAAGACGGCCUGCGGGUUGUAAACCGCAGUCGCCUGUGACGAAGCGUGAGUGACGGUAACGGGUAAAGAAGCACCGGCUAACUACGUG
RNAcentral lists this ribosomal RNA (468 nucleotides) under uncultured bacterium. Its description in RNAcentral is "partial 16S ribosomal RNA". It matches the Rfam family "Bacterial small subunit ribosomal RNA", at positions 28 to 507 of the family's 1533-position model. The record is from RNAcentral.